Molecule: non-coding RNA, 76 nt
Organism: Zonotrichia leucophrys gambelii
Lineage: Eukaryota; Metazoa; Chordata; Aves; Passeriformes; Passerellidae
Source: the annotation of a RefSeq genome assembly
GCCCGGCUAGCUCAGUCGGUAGAGCAUGAGACUCUUAAUCUCAGGGUCGUGGGUUCGAGCCCUGCGGAGGUGAACG